GCUCCUCGGGACAGUUCCCACACUGCAGUGCCUCUGGUGAGGAGACAGCGCCACUGAGCUCCCCACUUCCACAGAGCUUUCCCGCACAGAUCCACCUGCCGCUGAUACC
Molecule: long non-coding RNA, 109 nt
Organism: Homo sapiens (human)
Lineage: Eukaryota; Metazoa; Chordata; Mammalia; Primates; Hominidae
Gene: GLYCTK-AS1
Product: GLYCTK antisense RNA 1
Source: Ensembl